Molecule: ribosomal RNA, 497 nt
Filed under: uncultured bacterium
Lineage: Bacteria
Description: partial 16S ribosomal RNA
Rfam family: Bacterial small subunit ribosomal RNA
Source: RNAcentral
GAUGAACGCUGGCGGCGUGCCUAAUACAUGCAAGUCGAGCGAACAGAUAAGGAGCUUGCUCCUUUGACGUUAGCGGCGGACGGGUGAGUAACACGUGGGUAACCUACCUAUAAGACUGGAAUAACUCCGGGAAACCGGGGCUAAUGCCGGAUAACAUUUAGAACCGCAUGGUUCUAAAGUGAAAGAUGGUUUUGCUAUCACUUAUAGAUGGACCCGCGCCGUAUUAGCUAGUUGGUAAGGUAACGGCCUACCAAGGCAACGAUACGUAGCCGACCUGAGAGGGUGAUCGGCCACACUGGAACUGAGACACGGUCCAGACUCCUACGGGAGGCAGCAGUAGGGAAUCUUCCGCAAUGGGCGAAAGCCUGACGGAGCAACGCCGCGUGAGUGAUGAAGGUCUUCGGAUCGUAAAACUCUGUUAUUAGGGAAGAACAAAUGUGUAAGUAGCUGUGCACGUCUUGACGGUACCUAAUCAGAAAGCCACGGCUAACUACGUG